UGCCUGGUAGCGGGGGAUAACUAUUGGAAACGAUAGCUAAUACCGCAUAACAGUAGAUAUCGCAUGAUAUCUGCUUGAAAGGUGCAAUUGCAUCACUACCAGAUGGACCUGCGUUGUAUUAGCUAGUUGGUGGGGUAACGGCUCACCAAGGCGACGAUACAUAGCCGACCUGAGAGGGUGAUCGGCCACACUGGGACUGAGACACGGCCCAG
RNAcentral lists this ribosomal RNA (212 nucleotides) under uncultured bacterium. RNAcentral describes it as "partial 16S ribosomal RNA". It matches the Rfam family "Bacterial small subunit ribosomal RNA", at positions 127 to 334 of the family's 1533-position model. The record is from RNAcentral.